Non-coding RNA from Salmo salar (Atlantic salmon), 54 nucleotides. Lineage: Eukaryota; Metazoa; Chordata; Actinopteri; Salmoniformes; Salmonidae. The record is from Rfam.
AAAGCACCAAUUUGUAAGUCGCUCUGGAUAAGAGCGUCUGCUAAAUGACGUAAA